UUAUUUACCUGGCAGGGGAAAUACCAUGAUCAUGAAGGUUGUUUUCUCAGGGCAAGGCUUACCCAUGGCAUUCUGGAUGUGUUGACCCCUGCAGUUUCCCCAAAUAUGGAAACUCAACUGUAUAAUUUGUGGUAGUGGGAGACUGCAUUCACAUUCUCCCA
Phyllostomus discolor (pale spear-nosed bat) is the source of this 161-nucleotide small nuclear RNA. RefSeq annotates it as U1 spliceosomal RNA. The record is from RefSeq and is a predicted model, not a curated record. Lineage: Eukaryota; Metazoa; Chordata; Mammalia; Chiroptera; Phyllostomidae. The transcript has a single exon.